CCGGAAAGCUGUUCAAACUCGGUCAUUUAGAGGAAGUAAAAGUCGUAACAAGGUCUCCGUUGGUGAACCAGCGGAGGGAUCAUU
This 84-nucleotide ribosomal RNA is filed under the name Cephalotrichiella penicillata. Its description in RNAcentral is "partial 18S ribosomal RNA". It matches the Rfam family "Eukaryotic small subunit ribosomal RNA", at positions 1747 to 1830 of the family's 1831-position model. The record is from RNAcentral. Lineage: Eukaryota; Fungi; Ascomycota; Sordariomycetes; Microascales.